RNAcentral lists this ribosomal RNA (423 nucleotides) under uncultured bacterium. RNAcentral's name for it is "bacterial SSU rRNA". It matches the Rfam family "Bacterial small subunit ribosomal RNA", at positions 355 to 775 of the family's 1533-position model. The record is from RNAcentral.
UAAGGAAUAUUGGUCAAUGGGCGGAAGCCUGAACCAGCCAUGCCGCGUGCAGGAAGACGGCCCUACGGGUUGUAAACUGCUUUUACAGGGGAAUAAACCUCGGUACGUGUACCGAGCUGAAUGUACUCUGAGAAUAAGGAUCGGCUAACUCCGUGCCAGCAGCCGCGGUAAUACGGAGGAUCCAAGCGUUAUCCGGAUUUAUUGGGUUUAAAGGGUGCGUAGGUGGCCUGUUAAGUCAGGGGUGAAAGACGGUAGCUCAACUAUCGCAGUGCCCUUGAUACUGAUGGGCUUGAAUAAACUAGAGGUAGGCGGAAUGUGACAAGUAGCGGUGAAAUGCAUAGAUAUGUCACAGAACACUAAUUGCGAAGGCAGCUUACUAUGGUUUUAUUGACACUGAGGCACGAAAGCGUGGGGAUCAAACAG